RNAcentral lists this ribosomal RNA (496 nucleotides) under uncultured bacterium. RNAcentral's name for it is "partial 16S ribosomal RNA". It matches the Rfam family "Bacterial small subunit ribosomal RNA", at positions 28 to 506 of the family's 1533-position model. The record is from RNAcentral.
GAUGAACGCUGGCGGCGUGCCUAAUACAUGCAAGUCGAGCGAACAGACGAGGAGCUUGCUCCUCUGACGUUAGCGGCGGACGGGUGAGUAACACGUGGAUAACCUACCUAUAAGACUGGGAUAACUUCGGGAAACCGGAGCUAAUACCGGAUAAUAUAUUGAACCGCAUGGUUCAAUAGUGAAAGACGGUUUUGCUGUCACUUAUAGAUGGAUCCGCGCCGCAUUAGCUAGUUGGUAAGGUAACGGCUUACCAAGGCAACGAUGCGUAGCCGACCUGAGAGGGUGAUCGGCCACACUGGAACUGAGACACGGUCCAGACUCCUACGGGAGGCAGCAGUAGGGAAUCUUCCGCAAUGGGCGAAAGCCUGACCGAGCAACGCCGCGUGAGUGAUGAAGGUCUUCGGAUCGUAAAACUCUGUUAUUAGGGAAGAACAAAUGUGUAAGUAACUAUGCACGUCUUGACGGUACCUAAUCAGAAAGCCACGGCUAACUACGU